UUAUGCCUACGGGGGGCAGCAGUGGGGAAUAUUGCACAAUGGGGGGAACCCUGAUGCAGCGACGCCGCGUGGGCGAGGAAGUAUUUCGGUAUGUAAAGCCCUAUCGGCAGGGAAGAAGAAAUGACGGUACCUGAAUAAGAAGCACCGGCUAAAUACGCGCCAGCAGCCGCGGGAAUACGUAUGGUGCAAGCGUUAUCCGGAUUUACUGGGCGUAAAGGGAGCGCAGGCGGCGCGCCAAGGCUGAUGUGAAACCCCGGGG
Molecule: ribosomal RNA, 259 nt
Filed under: uncultured bacterium
Lineage: Bacteria
Description: partial 16S ribosomal RNA
Rfam family: Bacterial small subunit ribosomal RNA
Source: RNAcentral